RNAcentral lists this ribosomal RNA (389 nucleotides) under Picozoa sp. RNAcentral's name for it is "partial small subunit ribosomal RNA". It matches the Rfam family "Eukaryotic small subunit ribosomal RNA", at positions 582 to 975 of the family's 1831-position model. The record is from RNAcentral. Lineage: Eukaryota; Picozoa.
AUUCCAGCUCCAAUAGCGUAUAUUAAAGUUGUUGCAGUUAAAAAGCUCGUAGUCGGAUUUUGGCAUCACGCCGAACUGUCUGCCGAUUGGUAAGUACGGUUUGGCGGGUGCUUCCUUCCGGAGGCUCGUUCCCUUCUUCAUUGAAGGGUUCGUUGGUUCCGGGUCUUUUACUUUGAGAAAAUUAGAGUGUUCAAAGCAGGCCUAUGCUCUGAAUAGGUUAGCAUGGAAUAAUAGAAUAGGACUUUGGUUCUAUUUUGUUGGUUUCUAGUACUGAAGUAAUGAUUGAUAGGGAUAGUUGGGGGUGCUAGCAUUGAGCGGCCAGAGGUGAAAUUCUUGGAUUCGCUCAAGACUAACUUAUGCGAAAGCAUUCACCAAGGAUGUCUUCAUCA